Molecule: long non-coding RNA, 556 nt
Filed under: Populus trichocarpa (black cottonwood)
Lineage: Eukaryota; Viridiplantae; Streptophyta; Magnoliopsida; Malpighiales; Salicaceae
Description: long non-coding RNA (PTRI_LNC000068)
Source: RNAcentral
UGCCAAACCCACUUUUCAUCCCUAAUCUUUUCAACCUAAUUCUACUCUAACCCCUACUCUUCUCUUUGAUGUGAAACCAUACCCGUGCCUUUUCUGGUUUCUAUCUGGGUAUUCCGACUUUCGAUUUAAAAAAAAAGAAAAUAAAAAUACGCAUCUCGUUCUUGAUACUCGUCCAUCUCCAACCUGAAAAAUACGCAUAAUAAAUCCAACUCCACCUUACAAGGUCACGUGACGAUCACAUGCACAUCAUUUUCUUAUAAUCACGUACACAAUACAUGCCCAUAACCACAAAUUAAAAAAGAAGAAGGAGAAACUCAUAAUUCAUUCUUCUUCUUCUUCUUCUUCUUCUUCGUAUAAUCCCCAUUAACGCAUGCCUACCCAACCUUGUACCCAUCGCCUACCGAAUUCCUUCAAAAGGGCUUCCACUCUCUCCACGAAUUUUUAGACUUGAUCACUGAAACCUAUAACCAAUUAAAGACGUACCUUUGCUUGAUCGAAUAAACAUUGACAACAAUGAAUAAAAAGGUACUCGCUCGUGUUAAAAGCAAUCCCAAGC